CUGAAGGUCUGAGGUGAUCAGUCAUUCCCUAAGCUCCACUCUGAAUGCAGCCACACACUGAAGCAAGUCCAAAAAUGAAGAAAGAGACACAGGGCAACACAAUGCAUAAAAGGACAGAGGAAGGACGAGGCAGAGGGAGCAGGAUGAGAUUAAAAGGAAUAUGUUCCAUGAGGCUGUGGAGAACCCCAGAGAAACAUAUACAGAAAAGAAGCAUCAGGACAGGUGCUUCCUGACCUUGACUUGGCUGAGAGUCUGAUGAAGUCUCCAAGAUUUGGGGGUGAGCAUAAGGAAGAGAGCUGGAGCCUCGCUGAAGAAAUGUCAAAUACACUGCUUAAAAAGAAAAAUCAAUUUCAAUUAUAUCACACAACUUCUGGAACUGGUGCUGUCUGCUGAGGAGAAAAUAAUGAUAAUAGUAAAAAGAUAUUUAUGAAAACUUUAAUGGUAU
This 445-nucleotide long non-coding RNA is filed under the name Homo sapiens (human). Its description in RNAcentral is "HSALNT0125891". The record is from RNAcentral. Lineage: Eukaryota; Metazoa; Chordata; Mammalia; Primates; Hominidae.